CAAUCAAUACCUGUUGUUUCAGCCACCCAAUUUGUGGUACUUCCUCAUGGCAGCCUUAGGAAACUAAAUGACGAUUACAAACUGCCAAAAUCUCUCCCUAGCCCCACAGGGCCUUGUCCACGCUCGAGGGGAGAGCUGUGUCCCUCCCCUUUGGCAAACGAACGCGUGAGCUUCCGGCGGUGGGCAAGCACCACCCGGCGCUUCCCAGCUCCUGCUGACAGGACGGACAGCCUAGCAGGAACGGGUGGCCAUUAUCGCGGCAAGACGCGGCGUCACGAAGACGCAGCGCCACUCGCCUCAUCGUUUCUGAACUUGCGCGCGGCGCCUCGACGCGUUCCCUACGUCACUGUUGCGCCGAGGCGGGACUUCCCCCUCACGUCCCGGAAACCGGAAGGGGCUCCGUUCCGCCGGAAAGAGGCGAGACAUGGGACUGAGAUCGGUUCCUGCGUGGCUGCGUCUGUCGUGUAGAGGGAGGACUACCUCUGGCCACCGGCGAGGCGGGUGACAGCAGCGCCCUAGGAGGAAAGCAGGCUGGCGUGUCGGGCUUCAGGGGUGCGGCGGAGAACCGGAGCAGCGGCAAUGUAUAUGGAGUAACACAAUGUGAAGAUGGAACUUUUAUUACCUGUUCCACAGCUUUACACACAAAGGUCUGGGGUUCAUAGAUAUGUGUUCACCCUGGAGGACUUAAUAGCUAGCUGUCAUCUGAGCUCAAUGAAUAUUUGCUGUAAUACCCUGUGGAGAUAUUUACCCACAACAUCUGAAUGAGAAACCAGCUAUAAAGAACUUCUAAGAUCCCCACAAGUCCAGGUAUAUGAGCUCUUUGAAAGCAGAACCCUUUUGUUUUGUGUUCUGCUCAUUCAGAAACUAUGAAGGCACAAUUCCUACCUGUGAUUUGCUUAUGGUCAAGUGAAGUAGACGCAGGUCGAUGGCUGCCAUGUGUGCACUUAAGUAUUCUAAAAGAGAUUUAUCAGCAGGUUGCGGGUGGACAUGGCCUUGAGGUAAAUUCUGCCCCUUGUUGAAGUUUAGUUUCAGCAGAUUAUUUAUGGUAUUUUAAGGAACUGGAAAAAGUUUUGUUUGGUUCUGUUCUACACUUAUUUUUUCUUCUCGUAGGAGAUGAGAAACAGUUUAAACAAAAGUUCUUUAUGCUGAAUAAUUGUGAUGCUUGAAGUUAAUCAUCUGCCUUGCUUAAAUUAAGUGGAUUUUAAAUGUCUAAGCUACUUCUAGAUGGUUUUCUGUUGGUCAAAUAAAAUUUUACCCAAACCUUC
Molecule: long non-coding RNA, 1265 nt
Organism: Hipposideros armiger (great roundleaf bat)
Lineage: Eukaryota; Metazoa; Chordata; Mammalia; Chiroptera; Hipposideridae
Exons: 5
Source: RefSeq, a predicted model, not a curated record